Molecule: unclassified non-coding RNA, 253 nt
Filed under: Glomus sp.
Lineage: Eukaryota; Fungi; Glomeromycota; Glomeromycetes; Glomerales; Glomeraceae
Description: partial contains 5.8S ribosomal RNA and internal transcribed spacer 2
Rfam family: 5.8S ribosomal RNA (bases 1-71)
Source: RNAcentral
GUGAAUCAUCAAAUUUUUGAACGCAUAUUGCACUCUCUGGUAUUCCGGAGAGUAUGCCUGUUUGAGGGUCAGUUAAAUUAAAAUCGAGGGUGUUGCUUCCUUUUCGUGGUGAAGCUUCGGAAUUGGGUCGUCUUUACCUUUCUUUUAAGAGACAUAAAAUUUUUUAAUGAUAUCUGAACGUAUUUAAAGUUAUUUGGUACGUUUUGGAAUAUCAAAUGUUUAUUAGGUGUGUUCAUCCUUAUGAUUCUCUUCU